This is a microRNA precursor of Nicotiana attenuata, 105 nucleotides long. It matches the Rfam family "MIR6152 microRNA precursor family". The record is from Rfam. NCBI's taxonomy places the organism in Eukaryota, Viridiplantae, Streptophyta, Magnoliopsida, Solanales, Solanaceae.
UGGACAUACUAUUGUAUUGACUGUAUUCGACUGUAUUCACGGCGUGAAACAGGGGAUUACACUAUUUUUAAACGGAAAGUGAAUCAAUUGACAUAAUAGACUCCU